AAUCAACGCUGGCGGCGCGCUUAACACAUGCAAGUCGCACGAGAAAGUGGAGCAAUCCAUGAGUAAAGUGGCGUACGGGUGAGUAACACGUGGAUCAUCUACCUUUUAGUGGGGAAUACCCCCCGGGAAACUGGGGACAAUACCGCAUAAGCUCGGAAGAGGAAAGCAGCAAUGCGCUGAAAGAGGAGUCCGCGGCUGAUUAGCUAGAUGGCGGGGUAACGGCCCACCAUGGCAAAGAUCGGUAGCCGGCCUGAGAGGGCACACGGCCAC
Molecule: ribosomal RNA, 270 nt
Filed under: uncultured bacterium
Lineage: Bacteria
Description: partial 16S ribosomal RNA
Rfam family: Bacterial small subunit ribosomal RNA
Source: RNAcentral